Molecule: non-coding RNA, 5042 nt
Organism: Oncorhynchus mykiss (rainbow trout)
Lineage: Eukaryota; Metazoa; Chordata; Actinopteri; Salmoniformes; Salmonidae
Source: RefSeq, a predicted model, not a curated record
GAAGCUGACAAGAGGUGAUGCUAGGGCUGGGCGAUAUGGCGAUAUAUAUCGUGUGACAAUAGAAAAACGCAUAUGAUUUCAUAUUAUGCUGUAUCGUUUAUUUCGAUGUGUCGCAAAUCACUCUUUACGGCAAUAUUUUUCGUCAAUUGGACGACACUUUGCGUGCCGUGUGGAAGGAAAUGUGCAACACUAACAAACAUGGAGGAGAGUGAAUGUGACACAGAGCACGGAGACACGGAGCUCGUACCUAAAGGAGGGGUCACAUGGACGUGGUUUGGGUAUGAAAAGUCUGACACGGACCAGAAAACCGCCCUCUGCAAAAUAUGCCGCAGGCCGGUCCUGACAACAGGCUCAAACACCAGUAACCUAUUUUACCACCUACGCAAGAAUCACGUGAAACAGUACGGAGAGAGUCUACGGAUGAGACCCCAAAAAGUAGAGUUGAGUGCUCAAAACAAACCCCCGACUCAGACGCUGCAAGAGGAUUUUUCCCGGGGCACAUCAUAUGGCAAAGAAUCAGGAAGAUGGAAGGAGGUAACAGCUGCCGUUACAACUUACAUCUGCAAAGACAUGUCCAGAAUUUACACGUUCGAGAAACGGGAGUUUCUUGAUUUGGUGCUAACACUCGACCCAAGAAAAUCUGCUAUAUCGUGAUAUGCAUCGUUAUCGGGAUAUGAAAUUACCUAUAUCGGGAUAUGAGAAUUUGGCCAUAUCGCCCAGCCCUAGGUGACGCUCCUGACAAGGAGAGGUGGCCUAAAUAUUGCAGCCAUGUCAUCCCUCACACAACAACUGAGGACUGCUCCAAAGUACGCCAAUUUGCAAAAAAAGCUGGGGAAAAAACUAAAAUGUGGAAAGCACUAGCGAAAUGGAGGCACGACCACACACCAUCCCAGCUCGUUACCAGACUGGUUGUUAUGAUGACAGCAAGCAGUAAGUUGAUUAUACACUGAGUAUAUUAACAUAGGCACAGAUCCGAUGCAUAUGACACGUUUUCUGUUUUGUAUCUAGCAACUGAUAUAGAUGAGUUCUUUAUGGAACCCUGCUUUCCAGAGAGAACUUUACGUUUACCUCUACCACCCAGAUGUCAGGACACAAAUGAAGAUAUCCCACAAAAAGGAAAAGUCUCCAAAGUGUCCAGUGAACCACAAACUGUGUCAUGCAGUGAGUAUUGAGAGGAACCAACAUUUUGGACAGUGACCUACACUCUAUGGCCAAAGGUCUACCAACCAAAACAACAACUGGCGAAGUAGCGCUACCUGCAGCAUCCAGUCUCCAACAAAAGGAAUCUGCAUCCACAAGUGCCGUGCAGUCUCAGGAGAUAAUUGCAAUGAUGUCUUGUUAGUACUGUACAUGUUCACCUGUUAUUUAACAGUACUUUGGUCAAAAUAGCAACUCCCCUUGAAUCCUUUCUGCUUAAACCCCGUGUUUAAUUACUAUGUGUUAUGUGUCUCCGUUCUAAUCAAUGUCGUCUUGCUAAGCCUUCCAGACACAGAUACUGAUGAAGCGAGACAUUAUAAUUGCGAAUCAGCAAGAGCAACUGAGGCUCCUUAAUGCUACAAGGCCAUCGACCACAGCUGAGGACCUCGACAUUCUGCAAUCACCGUUAGACUCUGUGGCUGAUCUGAAGCUACUGUGUAGCGGAGCUCAACAGAGGAGAAUCUUCGCAAACAAUUGACCACAGCACCUGAAAUAACGGAGAGAGACAGAAGGAGCACAAGCACAGAGUCGACCCUUAAGCCUUUUGACUAAAGAGUACAUUUUUAUUAAAUGUCCAGUGGUAAAAAGGGAAAUAAUGUAAUUCACGGCUAAUCCAAUUAUAGUUCAUCAAGAGUUAGUAAUUAACAGUUGUAUAUUGUAUUUUGUAUUUCCUUGUUGGUUAAAUGAAUCAAAUGUUAUCUAUAAGAGACCCCUUUUCAGUCAUGUAUGUGGCAAAAAUAUUAUUGAUGUAAAGGUCUGCAAUAGUAGAAAUGUCCUUUCUCUUCCAAAAUAAAAAAGUGUUGUCAGUUAGUGGGGGGAGCAUGGUCACGGCAAAUAGGAGUACAGACAGAGGUCUCCGGGAGACCAAAUGUUUUCCUUAUUUGAUACCAAAUGUCAUGAUUUUUUUUGCAUAAAGUUAUUGCCGUAAUACCUGUUAGUUGAUGAAAAGAGAAGUGCUGGAAGAGAGAUGUAGUGUAUAUCUUCUUCAAUAGCGAGCCAUGAAGGGGUGGAGAGUUCUACUAUGCCAGGGUAUACAUCCUGCCAAUAAAGUCAGUGCUCUAGCAUUUGCUGCCCAAUAAUAAUGCUGAAAAUUUGGCAGGCUCAGACCCCCUAAUUGUUUGGGCUUGAUUAUACGUUUAGAGAUACGGUGUACUUUGUAUCCCCACACAAAAGGCAGAUAAUAAAAUCCAAGGAUUUGAAAAAGCUUUACUUAAAAAUAUAGGCAGAUUCUGAAAGAGAGAAAGAAAUCUGGGGAAUGUAACCAUUUUAAUAGCGUGCCUCUAUGUUGCGCUUCAGCUUGACGAGGUAGUUCAAUUUAUAAAUCAAUUUAGAGUCCUUAGGGAUGAUAACCCCUAAAUAUUACAUUUAGUCACGUGUGAUUUAAAAGGUAUAUGUUUAAGGAACUCUGGGUUUAAGUCACCUUUAGGAGGCAUGAAUUCACUUUUAUCCCAGUUUAUGGUGUACCGAGAGUUCUCCAAAUUAUUCAAUGAGAUCCAACAGCGGUGGAAGUGACUCUUCGGGGCGUGAGACCAACAAGAUGAUGUGCAUAGAGCGAGAAUCGGUGAUCAACCUUGCCUAUGUUUAGAGGAGCAAUGGCAGGAUGGCUGCUGAUACUGAUAGCUAGGGGUUCCAUAGCAAUGGUGAAUAGCAAUGGACUCAAGGGGCAUCCCUGGCAGCAGGAACGUUGAAGUGAAAACGGAGGUGAUUUAUUGUAAUUUGUGAAAACUGAAGCCGUCGGGCACGCAGAGUAUUUCAACCCAAGAGACAAAACUCACCCAAACCAAACUUGGUCAAAUGCUUUUUGAGCGUCAAGUGCAAGUAUUGCAACUUUAGAAUCUUUGUCAUGUCUGGAAUACAUGAUAUUCAGUCGACUAAUGUUGUAAAAUGAAAAUCUGCCUGCGAUAAAACCAGUUUGGUCAUGAUGAAUUAUAGUCGAAAUGCAUUUAUUUAGUCUGUUCGCGAGUAUUUUAGUAAACACCUCGAGUUCACAUCCGAGGAGGGCAAUAGGACGAUAUGAAGAUGGAUCGGCAUCUUUAUCUUUCUUUAAUAUUAGGGAGAUAUUAGUUUCAAUGGAGUGUUUAAACAGAGGAGUAACCUUUUCUGAAUAAACUUUGUAAAACUUCAUACCAAAGCCAUCAGUGCCAGCCGCUUUCCCAUUAGGGAAGGAACAUACUGCAGAGACAACCUCUUCGAAAGUUCUCUGCAUUUAGCUCCCUUUGAGCAGCGCCGCAUAAUUUAGGUAGGGAAAGGGAAUGGCGGAAAUCAGACAUUUUUGCGGUAUCUGCAGUGGUCUUUGAGGUGUAGAGGUCUUGAUAAAACGUUGUGAAAUGUGUUAAUUCCUUUUGGGUCCGUAGUAACAGCUCCUGUACUAGAUUUAAUUCUAUGACUAGCUCUAUUGAUUGGCCUGUAUACCUCUCAGCUGGUGUGCCAGUAGUUUUUCCCGGUUUGUCACCCAACUCAAAGUGUUUGUUUAAUCUUUAAUAGCAUUGUGUUUACUUGGUUAGAGAAAAUAGUAUUGUAUUCAUAUUUUAGUCAUUCAACUUGGCGCUUCUACAUAGACUCUCUCAAGCUCCGGUAGCUGGGCCUCAAUUUCUAAUCUUCUCUGCACCGAGGUAAAGACAGUUUCAAGUUGGAUAUUAGACGGAUAUUCUCGCUUCAAACUUCAAUAGCUUUCAAACCACUUGAGCCAAAUAAGUGUCAUGAUGUAGGAAAAAUUGCGGGAAACAUUGCACUGGUCAUAUUUUCACGAUUUGGACAUUCAUUCACUUUCCAAAGCUAAUUAACAUUUGGAAAUGUGAGCGACAUCUUGUAUUCCUAGUUGAAUUAGUUAGGGAGUGUAAACCAAGUACAAACUUUUUUUACAUUCAAAUUUCAAUAGCUCCUUGGUCAUGUGACCUACUGACCUCAACCAAGGUUCAGAAUGUUCACUGACUACCAGUUAGUUUGUCCAUUUUCACUUGAUUUUACAUGAAUUUUUAUAAAAUUUUACAUUUCAGUAGCUCCUUGGUUAUGUGACCUACUGACUUCAAAGAAGGUUCAGAAUGUACACUCAGUGGGCAAGUCAGAUCCGUAAUGUCGGAAUAAGGAUUGGCUCUAAGGGCUAGGUUGGUCGGGCUGGGGUGCGAAGCGGGACUCUCGCCGCGGCUGGAGAGCAGUCGCUCCGUCGCCCUCUCGCCGCCGGAAGUUCAUUGUGCGGCCCAUCUCGCGGUCUGUUGUGCGUGGUCUCGCAAGUGGAUGCGUGCGGAUUCGUCAGGGUGGUGUCCGUCAGCGGGCUUGGAUCCGCGGACAGGGGUUGGAUCCGGCGGUUGGUGACGGCGACUCUGGACCGCGCCGGGCCCUUCUCGCAGAUCUCCCCAGCUACGGCGCUCGCCGGUCCUGUUCGUGCUGGGUCUCAUUGGCUCCUAUCAGCUGACUUAGAACUGUUGAUGCAAUGUGAUUUCUCCCCAGUGCUCUGAAUGUCAAAGUGAAGAAAUUCAAUGAAGCGCGGGUAAACGGUGGGAGUAACAAUGACUCUCUUAAGGAGUCCUUAGCCUUAGUAAGGGAGAUAACGAGGUAGCCCUCUAGCAGGGCUCUUCGAAUCCCUCCCUGUAUGUCACCUGUUGUCGCUAACGAUGCAAACCAAAACGGGAGUUACCUCGUUACUAGUCCGUACGCAAAGAGAGUCUUGCAGAUGGUGAUGGGUGUUGAUUGUUAACGGUAGGCGGAAGUCGGUCCUGGAAUAUGGGACUUUCGGUCAAGCAUAAAAAUGUGAGGGGGGGGGGUUCCACCAGACUCAAUGAUUUGCUGCGGGGCUCUUGUAAACUAAUCCUGACCUUGACAGGAAGCCAAUCAGAGAAUGAUGUCUC